GGGUGGCCAAGAAACUGGCGGAGGUUUCGAGUGCGCCUGCGCCUCUGGCACGUUCUACCAUCUUGACCCUGUUGGGGUGCUGCUGAGAACCCAAGGUCUAGUCCCAGACCUGUCAUGUUGGCUCACGGUGGUCUUCUGCACUGUACGCAUGUGCUGUGCAGACAUAAACGAAACACCCACAUGCAUAAAAAUAAAGGUGCCUGCAGAGGCCAGAGCAUGCCGGAUUCCCAGGAACUGGAGUGACAGGUGAUGGUAAACCAUUUGAAUUGGGUGCUGGGUACUCAACUCAGGUCCUCUGGAAGAGCAGCAGGCACUCGUGCAUGAGACCUGAGAAGGAUAUAAUAUCACCUGAGUAAAAAGUAAGUACACAGCAAGCAACUUCCAAAACUAUAGAAAUGACUGAGACAGCUGGCCGCCUGGACAGUCACCCAAGGUUCAUCUGCAAUGUUGUGGCAUCCAUC
Cricetulus griseus (Chinese hamster) is the source of this 461-nucleotide non-coding RNA. NCBI's taxonomy places the organism in Eukaryota, Metazoa, Chordata, Mammalia, Rodentia, Cricetidae. The record is from RefSeq and is a predicted model, not a curated record.